This 464-nucleotide ribosomal RNA is filed under the name uncultured bacterium. RNAcentral's name for it is "partial 16S ribosomal RNA". It matches the Rfam family "Bacterial small subunit ribosomal RNA", at positions 338 to 795 of the family's 1533-position model. The record is from RNAcentral.
CCUACGGGGGGCUGCAGUAGGGAAUUUUCGGCAAUGGGGGGAACCCUGACCGAGCAACGCCGCGUGAAGGAAGAAGGAAUUCGUUCUGUAAACUUCUGUUAUAAAGGAAGAAAGACGGAUGGAGGAAAUGACAUCCGAGUGACGGUACUUUAUGAGAAAGCCACGGCUAACUACGUGCCAGCAGCCGCGGUAAUACGUAGGUGGCAAGCGUUAUCCGGAAUUAUUGGGCGUAAAGAGGGAGCAGGCGACAGCAAAGGUCUGUGGUGAAAGACUGAAGCUUAACUUCAGUAAGCCAUAGAAACCGGGCAGCUAGAGUGCAGGAGAGGAUCGUGGAAUUCCAUGUGUAGCGGUGAAAUGCGUAGAUAUAUGGAAGAACACCAGUGGCGAAGGCGGCCGCCUGACCUGUUGCUGACGCUGAGGCACGAAAGCGUGGGGAGCAAAUAGGAUUAGAUACCCUAGUAGUC